This 358-nucleotide unclassified non-coding RNA is filed under the name soil metagenome. RNAcentral describes it as "partial contains 5.8S ribosomal RNA, internal transcribed spacer 2, and large subunit ribosomal RNA". The stretch from base 1 to 120 matches the Rfam family "5.8S ribosomal RNA", at positions 35 to 154 of the family's 154-position model. The record is from RNAcentral.
GAUGAAGAACGUAGCGAAAUGCGAUAAGUAAUGUGAAUUGCAGAAUUCAGUGAAUCAUCGAAUCUUUGAACGCACAUUGCGCCCGUCAGUAUUCUGGCGGGCAUGCCUGUUCGAGCGUCAUUACGCCCCUCAAGUCCCCUGUGGACUUGGUGUUGGGGAUCGGCGAGGCUGGUUUUCCAGCACAGCCGUCCCCUAAAUUAAUUGGCGGUCUCGCCGUGGCCCUCCUCUGCGCAGUAGUAAAACACUCGCAACAGGAGCCCGGCGCGGUCCACUGCCGUAAAACCCCCCAACUUUUUAUAGUUGACCUCGAAUCAGGUAGGACUACCCGCUGAACUUAAGCAUAUCAAUAAGCGGAGGA